Molecule: ribosomal RNA, 1388 nt
Filed under: metagenome
Description: bacterial LSU rRNA
Rfam family: Bacterial large subunit ribosomal RNA
Source: RNAcentral
GCCCAGAUCGUUGAAGGCUUUAGGUAUAGGACCGGUAGGCAAAUCCGCCGGUCUUGCUGAAGGCUGAUAGUACCGCAAACCUUCGGGGGCGUGGAUAGUGCAGGUAAUCAGACUUCCAAGAAAAACCGCUAAGCUUCAGGUUAUAAAAACCCGUACCGCAAACCGACACAGGUAUCCGGGAAGAGAAUUCUAAGGCGCUCGAGUGAAUCAUGGCUAAGGAACUCGGCAAAAUGGCCCUGUAACUUCGGGAGAAGGGGCGCUGGUAGCAAUAUCAGCCGCAGUGAAAAGGCCCAGGCGACUGUUUAACAAAAACACAUGGCUUUGCAAAAUCGAAAGAUGAAGUAUAAGGCCUGACACCUGCCCGGUGCUGGAAGGUUAAGAGGGGAUGUCAUCCUCACGGAGAAGCAUUGAAUCGAAGCCCCAGUAAACGGCGCCGUAACUAUAACGGUCCUAAGGUAGCGAAAUUCCUUGUCGGGUAAGUUCCGACCUGCACGAAUGGUGUAACGAUCUGGGCGCUGUCUCAGCCAUGAGCUCGGUGAAAUUGUGGUCCCGGUGAAGACGCCGGGUACCCGCAACGGGACGGAAAGACCCCAUGCACCUUCACUACAAUUUAACAUUGACAUUGGAUACAGGAUGUGUAGGAUAGGUGGGAGACUAUGAAGCGGCGUCGCCAGGCGUCGUGGAGUCAACGUUGAAAUACCACCCUUUCUGUAUUCGGUGUCUAACUCGGCCUAGUCGAGGACAUUGUUUGAUGGGUAGUUUGACUGGGGUGGUCGCCUCCAAAAAGGUAACGGAGGCUUUCAAAGGUAAGCUCAAUACGCUUGGUAACCGUAUGAGGAGUGCAAUAGCAUAAGCUUGCUUGACUGUGAGGCAUACAAGCCGAGCAGGGUCGAAAGACGGAUAUAGUGAUCCGGUGGUUCUGCAUGGAAGGGCCAUCGUUCAAAGGAUAAAAGGUACGCUGGGAUAACAGGCUGAUCUCCCCCAAGAGCUCAUAUCGACGGGGAGGUUUGGCACCUCGAUGUCGGCUCGUCACAUCCUGGGGCUGGAGAAGGUCCCAAGGGUUCGGCUGUUCGCCGAUUAAAGUGGCACGCGAGCUGGGUUCAGAACGUCGCGAGACAGUUCGGUCCCUAUCUGUUGUGGGCGUAGGAAUUUUGAGUGGGGCUGACCUUAGUACGAGAGGACCGGGUUGGACUAGCCUCUAGUGAAUCUGUUGUUCCGCCAGGGGCAUUGCAGAGUAGCUACGCUGGGAAUAGAUAAGCGCUGAAAGCAUCUAAGUGCGAAACUAGCCACGAGAUGAGAAUUCCAUAUAGGACCGUAGUAGACUACUACGUUGAUAGGUUACAGAUGUAAAGGUUGUGAGAUCAAAGUCGAGUAAUACUAAUCAUCCA